CCUACGGGAGGCAGCAGUGGGGGAUAUUGCACAAUGGGGGAAACCCUGAUGCAGCGACGCCGCGUGUGGGAAGACGGUCCUCUGGAUUGUAAACCACUGUCCCCAGGGACGAAGAUGACGGUACCUGGGGAGGAAGCUCCGGCUAACUACGUGCCAGCAGCCGCGGUAAUACGUAGGGAGCGAGCGUUGUCCGGAAUUACUGGGUGUAAAGGGAGCGUAGGCGGGGAUGCAAGUUGGGUGUCAAAACUACCGGCUCAACUGGUAGUCGCACUCAAAACUGCAGCUCUUGAGUGAAGUAGAGGCAGGCGGAAUUCCUGGUGUAGCGGUGAAAUGCGUAGAUAUCAGGAGGAACACCGGUGGCGAAGGCGGCCUGCUGGACUGCAACUGACGUUGAGGCCCGAAAGCGUGGGGAGCAAACAGGAUUAGAUACCCGGGUAGUC
Molecule: ribosomal RNA, 440 nt
Filed under: uncultured bacterium
Lineage: Bacteria
Description: partial 16S ribosomal RNA
Rfam family: Bacterial small subunit ribosomal RNA
Source: RNAcentral